CCUACGGGUGGCUGCAGUGGGGAAUAUUGGACAAUGGGCGAAAGCCUGAUCCAGCCAUGCCGCGUGUGUGAAGAAGGCCUUCGGGUUGUAAAGCACUUUCAGUGGGGAAGAAAGCCUUGGGGCUAAUACCCUCGAGGAAGGACAUCACCCACAGAAGAAGCACCGGCUAACUACGUGCCAGCAGCCGCGGUAAUACGGAGGGUGCGAGCGUUAAUCGGAAUUACUGGGCGUAAAGCGCGCGUAGGCGGUCUGAUAAGCCGGUUGUGAAAGCCCCGGGCUCAACCUGGGAACGGCAUCCGGAACUGUCAGGCUAGAGUGCAGGAGAGGAAGGUAGAAUUCCCGGUGUAGCGGUGAAAUGCGUAGAGAUCGGGAGGAAUACCAGUGGCGAAGGCGGCCUUCUGGACUGACACUGACGCUGAGGUGCGAAAGCGUGGGUAGCAAACAGGAUUAGAUACCCGUGUAGUC
RNAcentral lists this ribosomal RNA (465 nucleotides) under Vreelandella stevensii. Its description in RNAcentral is "partial 16S ribosomal RNA". It matches the Rfam family "Bacterial small subunit ribosomal RNA", at positions 338 to 795 of the family's 1533-position model. Lineage: Bacteria; Pseudomonadati; Pseudomonadota; Gammaproteobacteria; Oceanospirillales; Halomonadaceae. The record is from RNAcentral.